RNAcentral lists this ribosomal RNA (433 nucleotides) under uncultured bacterium. Its description in RNAcentral is "partial 16S ribosomal RNA". It matches the Rfam family "Bacterial small subunit ribosomal RNA", at positions 29 to 507 of the family's 1533-position model. The record is from RNAcentral.
AACGAACGCUGGCGGCAUGCCUAACACAUGCAAGUCGAACGAGACCUUCGGGUUUAGUGGCGCACGGGUGCGUAACGCGUGGGAACCUGCCCUUAGGUUCGGAAUAACUCCCCGAAAGGGGUGCUAAUACCGGAUAAUGUCUUCGGACCAAAGAUUUAUCGCCUUUGGAUGGGCCCGCGUUGGAUUAGCUAGUUGGUAGGGUAAACGCCUACCAAGGCGACGAUCCAUAGCUGGUCUGAGAGGAUGAUCAGCCACACUGGGACUGAGACACGGCCCAGACUCCUACGGGAGGCAGCAGUGGAGAAUAUUGGACAAUGGGCGAAAGCCUGAUCCAGCAGUGCCGCGUGAGUGAUGAAGGCCUUAGGGUUGUAAAGCUCUUUUACCCGGGAUGAUAAUGACAGUACCGGGAGAAUAAGCUCCGGCUAACUCCGUG